GGCCAGUGAUGAGCUUGGCCUGGGUUUGCUGAGCUGGAGCUGAUGCCAACCUCUGUAGCUCUAGAAUUACUCUGAGGCCCA
Small nucleolar RNA from Pogoniulus pusillus (Red-fronted tinkerbird), 81 nucleotides. RefSeq annotates it as small nucleolar RNA SNORD45. The transcript has a single exon. Lineage: Eukaryota; Metazoa; Chordata; Aves; Piciformes; Lybiidae. The record is from RefSeq and is a predicted model, not a curated record.